Molecule: transfer RNA, 72 nt
Filed under: Cardiosporidium cionae
Lineage: Eukaryota; Apicomplexa; Aconoidasida; Nephromycida
Description: tRNA-Thr
Rfam family: tRNA
About the family: Transfer RNA (tRNA) molecules are approximately 80 nucleotides in length. Their secondary structure includes four short double-helical elements and three loops (D, anti-codon, and T loops).
Source: RNAcentral
GCCACCUUAGCAUAGCGGCAUUGCGUCGGUCUUGUAAACCGAAGGUCGUGGGUUCGAUCCCCACAGGUGGCU